UACGGAGGGUGCAAGCGUUAAUCGGAAUUACUGGGCGUAAAGCGCACGUAGGCGGACUCGUAGGUCAAUUGUGAAAUACCUGGGCUCAACCCGGGAACUGCAGUUGAAACCGCUUGUCUUGAAUACCUGAGAGGGUGGGGGAAUACCUGGUGGAGAAGUGAAAUUCGUAGAGAUCAGGUGGAACACCGGAGGCGAAGGCGCCUGCCUGGCAGUGUAUUGACGCUGAGGUGCGAAAGUGCGGGGAGCAAACAGG
This 253-nucleotide ribosomal RNA is filed under the name uncultured bacterium. RNAcentral describes it as "partial 16S ribosomal RNA". It matches the Rfam family "Bacterial small subunit ribosomal RNA", at positions 524 to 776 of the family's 1533-position model. The record is from RNAcentral.